AUGGCACCCGACACGCCGACGGCGGCCAAGAGAAGCAAGCAAGCGCCAUGCACGGCGGCCAGCCUGCCGGAAGAGAUCCUGUCCGAGAUCCUGCUGCUUCUCCCGUCCAGGUACAUCCUCCGGUUUCGCGCCGUCUGCCGCUCAUGGGCCGCCCUGCUCUCCUCCCCGGCCUUCAAGGACGUCUACGCCGUCAAGGCCCAUGCCCGUGCCCGGCGCAUGGACAAGUUCGUCGUCUUCGCACCGUCACCCAACGCAAACGGGUCCAUGGCGGUCUACUCCUGCGCCCGAGGCGCCUCCGUCGCGGAUCCUCUCCUUACCGUCGACCGUGUGCGCGUCGACUUCAUGUGCUUGUCGAGCAAGCCCUGCCAUGGCACCAUGCUCUUCUCGGACACCCGCUCCGGCGUCUAUUGGGUGUGUAACCCUAGCACCGGAGAGUGUGUCCCCUUGCCAAAGCAGCGCCGUGGCUUGAUGGAAUCGAGUGCCGGCCUGGUGUACGAUGAUCGGACCAAAGAGCGCAAGGUGGUCCAUCUCUUCAAGGAUAUGACGCAUUUCGGGUGCGAUAUUUACGCGCUCUGCAAUCCUACUCAACAGUGGAGGCCGGCCAACCAGGACGUUCAGCUCUUGGGGUUCAACAUACUAAAAUUCGUCUUGGGAACCGAAGACUCCGUGACAAAGGUACCUCCGGUAUUUGCAAAUGGAUGCGUGCACUGGCUAGCUUACCCGGCAUACAUGGACACCCCGGAUGGCCAGGACGCCAUUCUUUGCUUCUCCGUCGACACGGAAACCUUCACACGGCUCAACGCACCUUCAAGUGUCCACUUGGCAGCAGAGUACAAAGAAUUAGACGAGAACUUGCCAGCGGUCCCAAUGCAUCUAGCGGAGCUAGAAGGCUCGUUGUGCCUGGUCCAUGAUCUCCGCGGACGAGGGCAAGGUAGGAGCUGGCUAGAUGUAUGGAUGCUCAGGGAUCAUGUUGCCAAUGAGUGGUCACUAGACUACCGCAUCGUUGUCACACCUCUUCUUGCACGAGAUGUACAUAGCCCCCGGUUCAUCACUGUGCUCGGCUCCUCUAGUGACGGCGACAGUUGUGCGGGCAAUGAGCAGGAGAAGAAGAAGAUAUUGAUCGCCACGUCACAACACCAGGUCCAUGCUUACGAUCCAAAGGAGGGGGAUAUCCAACUUGUCUUCUCUGCUCCAAAGACUAAUAUCCGGAUCGGCCAAAAGGAGGCAGCUGCCGCGCUUUGGCUUGGUCUCUACGAGGACAAUGUAGUCCAGGUUGAGGGGGCAAAUCGUCGAGAUAAGGAGGUGUUAUCAGCAGUUACCAAGAUCCUAGCGCGACUUCCGGUCAAGUCUAUAGCUCAUUCCAUGUUGGUAUGCAGACAGUGGCGCUCACUCAUUGAGAGUGAGAGUUUUAUUAUAUCACACAUGUCAAUGAAGAGGCCGAAGAGGAUUUUGAUGGCCAGUAAUGGCCGUGCACGGCGUGCUUUCUUUGAAUUUACCUCGGUGGGAAAUUGGCUUCAAGCUGCAAGCCCCGCUCUUGCCGACACUCUUGUCAACGAUAAGGUCAUGUGCUCCAAACCAUGCCACGGGCUCAACUUGAUAAGCACCAACACCGAUGACUUUCUGUGCAACCCAUGCACCGGUGCCAUCAAGUGUCUGGGAAGGCAUGGCAAAUCGCACUUCACAUCGGCUGGACAUCAACGCCGUCACGCAUUUUCGGUUGGUAGAAACAUCGGUUUCGGUUUCGACCAGUCAACUGGAGAGCAUGUGGCCGUCGAGAUAGGCUACAUCAAUGGAACCUUGGCUUGCGUGAUCAAAACGAGCAGCGAGAAGCAGUGGACCUGCAUUGGUAAGCCGCCAAGGAUGGUGAGCGAUAUGCCACCAGCGCAUGUCGAUGGGACACUCUACUGGACGAGCGAGCCCGGACACGAGCGAGUCAUCGUUGCCUUGGACAUCUCCACCCGUGAAUUCAACAUCCUUCCGUGUGAACCAAGCUUGAAGAAUGACCGUCGCCACGCCUUUCUUGUCGAGCUGAAGGGAAUGCUCUCGCUCGUGGCCGUGGACGCUAGUGCGGGAGAGAUGGUCAUAUGGACGAUGCCCAAGAACAUGUCCUCGUGGGUUGGUGCAUACAAGAUAUGCCUCGACGAACAUCCUGAUUAUUCUCUCGCGAAGGGUCAGGUGGUAAUGCCGGUGGAGAUAGACGACGGUAACGAUGGAAGGAUCCUUCUCAACACCGGACGGGCUUUAGGGUACUACGACGCCAAGACAGGAGAGCUGGACAGCAUGUACUCGUUGGACCAACUGAAGCUCCCCCGGAGCAGCUUGGCCUUCCCUGUCUUGUGCCAGGAGAGCCUCGCGCGCAUUCAAGACGACGAACUCCCCAGCCGCGUCGCUCCCUCGGUUUGCGAUGAAGGAUGCAGGCCAUGCGAGCACCCUGAGCACGCUGACACAACGCUAGGGCAAGGACGACUCUUGCUACUCAAGUGUGAGGCCGACGCAUGUCUGGAUGUCGGAGACGUCUACCGGAGCUGCUGCAGGAGGCUGCUUUGCUGGAGUUGCCAAAGCCGCUGCAUCGAGCACUGUCAGACUCAGACAUUUGCACUACGCCCCGAUCCUGUGCUCCCAACUCACGGUCCUAAUUUGGUUUGGAACAGAUUAGGUCCGGACGCUAGCUUGCCUUUUUGCCAUCCGUCCGUGCCAGGUCCAGAGUACUGCUACUAUUUCCCCAUCGUGGAGGGAGAUGUGGUUCGUCAUGUCUUCAUGUCUAUCAGGGAUUACAUUCAAGGGAAGCAGUGGUGUCGUUUUGCCGAGUGUGGAUACAGAACAGAGGGAGAUGCAGUCAAGGAAACGUGGGUUCGGAGGUACCUCAAG
Molecule: ribosomal RNA, 2868 nt
Filed under: Triticum aestivum (bread wheat)
Lineage: Eukaryota; Viridiplantae; Streptophyta; Magnoliopsida; Poales; Poaceae
Description: partial small subunit ribosomal RNA
Source: RNAcentral